Molecule: unclassified non-coding RNA, 324 nt
Filed under: uncultured fungus
Lineage: Eukaryota; Fungi
Description: partial contains small subunit ribosomal RNA, internal transcribed spacer 1, and 5.8S ribosomal RNA
Rfam family: Eukaryotic small subunit ribosomal RNA (bases 1-73)
Source: RNAcentral
GCAAACUUGGUCAUUUAGAGGAAGUAAAAGUCGUAACAAGGUUUCCGUAGGUGAACCUGCGGAAGGAUCAUUACUGAACUGUCAACACGAGUUGUUGCUGGUCCUCAGACUGAGGGCAUGUGCACACUCUGUUUACACAUCCACUCACACCUGUGCACCCUCUGUAGUCCUAUAGCUUGGGGGGCUCUGUCUCCCUUGCUGUGGUUCUGCAUCUUUACACACACACACUGUAAUAAAGUUUUAUGGAAUGUAUGGCGUUUAACGCAAUAUAAUACAACUUUCAGCAACGGAUCUCUUGGCUCUCGCAUCGAUGAAGAACGCAGC